RNAcentral lists this ribosomal RNA (448 nucleotides) under uncultured bacterium. Its description in RNAcentral is "SSU rRNA". It matches the Rfam family "Bacterial small subunit ribosomal RNA", at positions 26 to 518 of the family's 1533-position model. The record is from RNAcentral.
AGAGCGAACGCUGGCGGCAGGCUUAACACAUGCAAGUCGAGCGGGCGUAGCAAUACGUCAGCGGCGGACGGGUGAGUAACGCGUGGGAACGUACCUUUUGGUUCGGAACAACACAGGGAAACUUGUGCUAAAUACCGGAUAAGCCCUUACGGGGAAAGAUUUAUCGCCGAAAGAUCGGCCCGCGUCUGAUUAGCUAGUUGGUGAGGUAACGGCUCACCAAGGCGACGAUCAGUAGCUGGUCUGAGAGGAUGAUCAGCCACAUUGGGACUGAGACACGGCCCAAACUCCUACGGGAGGCAGCAGUGGGGAAUAUUGGACAAUGGGCGCAAGCCUGAUCCAGCCAUGCCGCGUGAGUGAUGAAGGCCCUAGGGUUGUAAAGCUCUUUUGUGCGGGAAGAUAAUGACGGUACCGCAAGAAUAAGCCCGGCUAACUUCGCGCCAGCAGCCGC